GCCCGAGUGGCGAAAUGGCAGACGCAGCAGACUCAAAAUCUGCCGAGGUCAACCCUCAUGUCGGUUCGAGUCCGACCUCGGGCACCA
This 87-nucleotide transfer RNA is filed under the name Acidobacteriota bacterium. Its description in RNAcentral is "Acidobacteria bacterium (rhizosphere metagenome) tRNA-Leu". It matches the Rfam family "tRNA". Rfam says of the family: Transfer RNA (tRNA) molecules are approximately 80 nucleotides in length. Their secondary structure includes four short double-helical elements and three loops (D, anti-codon, and T loops). Further hydrogen bonds mediate the characteristic L-shaped molecular structure. tRNAs have two regions of fundamental functional importance: the anti-codon, which is responsible for specific mRNA codon recognition, and the 3' end, to which the tRNAs corresponding amino acid is attached (by aminoacyl-tRNA synthetases). tRNAs cope with the degeneracy of the genetic code in two manners: having more than one tRNA (with a specific anti-codon) for a particular amino acid; and 'wobble' base-pairing, i.e. permitting non-standard base-pairing at the 3rd anti-codon position. RNAcentral also lists the same sequence under 2 other names. The record is from RNAcentral. Lineage: Bacteria; Pseudomonadati; Acidobacteriota.